RNAcentral lists this ribosomal RNA (277 nucleotides) under Rhizophagus irregularis. The record is from RNAcentral. Lineage: Eukaryota; Fungi; Glomeromycota; Glomeromycetes; Glomerales; Glomeraceae.
CAGUCGUACCGGCGGAUAAUCAGCCUUUCGGGUGCGAUUCUGUGGAGUUUGAGGGGCUUAACACCUUCAUGCUUUGCAUAUUCGUGCUCUUGGGUGUACUUGCUCGUAUGGUUGGUUAACACCAAUUUUGGUGGUCAUAAAAUGACUGGAGGAAUGUAGCUUCGAUCUCGUAUCGAAGUGUUAUAGACUCUGGUAGAUGCGACGAUUGGGAUUGGAGGAUUGCAACGGAUACCCUUCGGGGCUACUCGUCUGAUCUCUGAAGGUUGCUCCGGUGCCG